This 149-nucleotide unclassified non-coding RNA is filed under the name Acaulospora mellea. RNAcentral's name for it is "partial internal transcribed spacer region". The stretch from base 1 to 46 matches the Rfam family "Eukaryotic small subunit ribosomal RNA", at positions 1786 to 1831 of the family's 1831-position model. Lineage: Eukaryota; Fungi; Glomeromycota; Glomeromycetes; Diversisporales; Acaulosporaceae. The record is from RNAcentral.
AAGUCGUAACAAGGUUUCCGUAGGUAAACUUGCGGAAGGAUCAUUAGAAAUUUUUUAUGUAUUCAAAAUUUCAAUCUUUAUAAAAAAAUUUUGUAUUUUAUUUAUAUAAAAUAAAAAGACAACUUUCAACAACGGAUCUCUUGGCUCUU